GAACAUCGCUGCUAUCUUAAAGCUUGAUUUUCGACAAUUUCAAGCUCACUAGUGCCAUCUCCAACCUAUAGAUCAAUUUCCCUGCCUCCUUUUGUAAUGUCUUUAGAUUUAGAACUUUAUGUGUCAAUUUUGAUACCUUGAAUUGUCAGGUAACUAUGAUUUUAGCAUUUUUUCAAUUUAAAUUUCUAUUUGGUGGUACUAAUAGAGUUUUGAUGGUA
This 218-nucleotide long non-coding RNA is filed under the name Manihot esculenta (cassava). Its description in RNAcentral is "long non-coding RNA (MESC_LNC007023)". Lineage: Eukaryota; Viridiplantae; Streptophyta; Magnoliopsida; Malpighiales; Euphorbiaceae. The record is from RNAcentral.